RNAcentral lists this ribosomal RNA (759 nucleotides) under Actinomycetes bacterium. RNAcentral describes it as "bacterial SSU rRNA". It matches the Rfam family "Bacterial small subunit ribosomal RNA", at positions 119 to 890 of the family's 1533-position model. The record is from RNAcentral. Lineage: Bacteria; Bacillati; Actinomycetota; Actinomycetes.
GGGUGAUCUGCCUCGCACUCUGGGAUAAGCCUGGGAAACUGGGUCUAAUACCGGAUAUGACCACGGAUCGCAUGGUUUGUGGUGGAAAGAUUUAUCGGUGCGAGAUGGGCCCGCGGCCUAUCAGCUUGUUGGUGGGGUAAUGGCCUACCAAGGCGACGACGGGUAGCCGACCUGAGAGGGUGACCGGCCACACUGGGACUGAGACACGGCCCAGACUCCUACGGGAGGCAGCAGUGGGGAAUAUUGCACAAUGGGCGAAAGCCUGAUGCAGCGACGCCGCGUGAGGGAUGACGGCCUUCGGGUUGUAAACCUCUUUCGACAGGGACGAAGCGCAAGUGACGGUACCUGUAGAAGAAGCACCGGCCAACUACGUGCCAGCAGCCGCGGUAAUACGUAGGGUGCGAGCGUUGUCCGGAAUUACUGGGCGUAAAGAGCUUGUAGGCGGUUCGUCGCGUCGAUUGUGAAAACUUGCAGCUCAACUGCAAGCUUGCAGUCGAUACGGGCGGACUAGAGUACUUCAGGGGAGACUGGAAUUCCUGGUGUAGCGGUGAAAUGCGCAGAUAUCAGGAGGAACACCGGUGGCGAAGGCGGGUCUCUGGGAAGUAACUGACGCUGAGAAGCGAAAGCGUGGGUAGCGAACAGGAUUAGAUACCCUGGUAGUCCACGCCGUAAACGGUGGGUACUAGGUGUGGGUUUCCUUCCACGGGAUCCGUGCCGUAGCUAACGCAUUAAGUACCCCGCCUGGGGAGUACGGCCGCA